AUUUUCUCAACAUUAACAAUAUAAGAAUUGAAAAAAUAUUCUUGAGAAGUGCAGUAAUAUUUAUCAUAUCAAAUCUUAACUGCUUAGCUAUCAAUGAAUCAAAUAUUUACAUCGACCUAGCACUAUAUUAGCAGUACAAAACCUUUUUCAUAUUGCUAAUACGGUGUGGUAAAUACACAUAUAUAUGCAGAAUAUAUAAUAAGGUAUUUAAAAUAAUGGAAACGAAAGAUAUCCUGGAUAGCAUGAGAAAAUUAUAUGCAAGAAGCACAUAAGUUCAUAAAAAUGCUGUAUUCAGCAGCAAAAUUGAAAAUAGUGCAGAAGACAGAUUUAAGAAUAGCUAGUAGAAGAGCCCAUACUGUUUUUAAUAGGCUAAGAAAUGAUAAAGAGCAGUCAGUAUAAGGGAAAGCAAAAGAUGAGUUUCUUUAUAGUACUACUACAAAGAAACUCAUCUUUAUGUAUAAAACUAUUUGUAGAUCUUUUCUUUGUAGAUCUACAAAUAGCUAAGAAACUCAUCUUUAUGUAUAAUAAAAAGAUCUACAAAGAGAAAAAAGAAUACAUUAAAGUUAUUAAGAAUAGUUUAGCAGACAGAAUAGCAGAACAUAGCUUGAUAUAUGAGCAGGAAAAUUGGGAACUGCAUUGGCUAGGCUAGCUUAUGAAUAUGAUGUAAAUAUCAAAUGUGUAAUGCUAAGGUGAGAAAACUAUGUGCUUCUCUAAAAGAAAGCUUGAUAUGAGAAUCUUUAGAAAUAUUAAGAACAGCUGAGAGUAAAAACAUAAUAAAUGAACAGCAAUCUGAAAUUAUUUUGGAAGCUUGGAC
RNAcentral lists this long non-coding RNA (814 nucleotides) under Androctonus crassicauda. Lineage: Eukaryota; Metazoa; Arthropoda; Arachnida; Scorpiones; Buthidae. The record is from RNAcentral.